RNAcentral lists this ribosomal RNA (860 nucleotides) under uncultured Bacillus sp. Its description in RNAcentral is "bacterial SSU rRNA". It matches the Rfam family "Bacterial small subunit ribosomal RNA", at positions 611 to 1505 of the family's 1533-position model. Lineage: Bacteria; Bacillati; Bacillota; Bacilli; Caryophanales; Bacillaceae. The record is from RNAcentral.
AACCGGGGAGGGUCAUUGGAAACUGGGGAACUUGAGUGCAGAAGAGGAGAGUGGAAUUCCACGUGUAGCGGUGAAAUGCGUAGAGAUGUGGANGGAACACCAGUGGCGAAGGCGACUCUCUGGUCUGUAACUGACGCUGAGGAGCGAAAGCGUGGGGAGCGAACAGGAUUAGAUACCCUGGUAGUCCACGCCGUAAACGAUGAGUGCUAAGUGUUAGGGGGUUUCCGCCCCUUAGUGCUGCAGCUAACGCAUUAAGCACUCCGCCUGGGGAGUACGGUCGCAAGACUGAAACUCAAAGGAAUUGACGGGGGCCCGCACAAGCGGUGGAGCAUGUGGUUUAAUUCGAAGCAACGCGAAGAACCUUACCAGGUCUUGACAUCCUCUGACAAUCCUAGAGAUAGGACGUCCCCUUCGGGGGCAGAGUGACAGGUGGUGCAUGGUUGUCGUCAGCUCGUGUCGUGANGAUGUUGGGUUNAAGUCCCGCAANCGAGCGCAACCCUUGAUCUUANGUUGCCAGCAUUCAGUUGGGCACUCUAAGGUGACUGCCGGUGACAAACCNGGAGGAAGGUGGGGNAUGACGUCAAAUCAUCAUGCCCCUUAUGACCUGGGNCUACACACGUGCUNACAAUGGNACAGAANCAAAGGGCAGCGAAANCCGCGAGGUUAAGCCAAUCCCACAAAUCUGNUUCUCAGUUNCGGAUCNGCAGUCUGCAACUCGACAAUACGUUCCCGGGCCUUGUACACACCGCCCGUCACACCACGAGAGUUUGUAACACCCGAAGUCGGUGAGGUAACCUUUUAGAGCCAGCCGCCGAAGUGGGACAGAUGAUUGGGGUGAAGUCGUACAAAGGUAAACAAAU